CGGGACGGGUGAGUAACGACGUGGAAAACCUAGCCGUAUACUGGGGGAUAACACUUAGAAAUAGGUGCUAAUACCGCAUAAGCGCACAGCUUCGCAUGAAGUGGUGUGAAAAACUCUGGUGGUAUACGAUGGUUCCGCGUCUGAUUAGCUUGUUGGUGGGGUAAUGGCUCACCAAGGCGACGAUCAGUAGCCGGCCUGAGAGGGUGAACGGCCACAUUGGGACUGAGACACGGCCCAAACUCCUACGGAAGGCAGCAG
This 258-nucleotide ribosomal RNA is filed under the name uncultured bacterium. Its description in RNAcentral is "partial 16S ribosomal RNA". It matches the Rfam family "Bacterial small subunit ribosomal RNA", at positions 98 to 354 of the family's 1533-position model. The record is from RNAcentral.